Long non-coding RNA from Cavia porcellus (domestic guinea pig), 820 nucleotides. RefSeq lists it as uncharacterized. The transcript has 3 exons. Lineage: Eukaryota; Metazoa; Chordata; Mammalia; Rodentia; Caviidae. The record is from RefSeq and is a predicted model, not a curated record.
UACCACCCAACACGUCUGUAAAUUGCUUCAGUGCAACCUUCAGAAAAUCUGCACUUGACUCGGCCUUGUCCUCACUUCCUUCUUCAUCUCCAAGUCUAAACUCCUGAGUUACCGCGGUGGUCACCCUGUUGAUUCCUUGCUUUCUACCCUAUUGUUCCAGCACCAUGAGUUGUACACACUUUUAAAACACUGAUUUCGGGUAAUAGCGUCCCUUGGGUCAAAACCCGCACGUGACUCCUCAGCUCACUUAGAGAAGAACACUAGUCCUCCACAGCCAAAGGAGCCAGACGCUGACUGCACUCUGCCUGCUCGCCCCACUCCUGCUGCAGGCUCUGCAGACUUAGGACAGGAGUGAUCUGAGUUCUGACGUAACAGGCUGACUCCAAAGUCCCCUGACUCAUCCCUGUUUCACUGGUUCCUCGUUGAGGUGCUACCCCUCGAAAAACCGACAUCCUCCUCCCUGUUUCCUGCGUUAUAAUUCUCUGCAUCUGUCAUCAGAUGAUAUUCUUCUGGCUCAUCAGGCCCAUGUUUAACCACCGAAGAAUCAGGUUAAGGGAGAGAAGACAGAAAAAAAAAAUCAAAUUAUUCUGCCUUAAGUUCUGGUCAGGGCAAACUCUGGAGCUCUAUGAAGAGUGGCAAGACUAACCUGGCUAUGUGAACUAACCAAAGCUGCAAAGGCAAAAAACGAGCUAAUCCUUCCUGGGGAUCUCAUCACUAAGACAAUGGCUGACUGCCUGUCCACAGCAUACACAAAAGGAGUGAAGAAGUAUAAAGCGGCAUGCUGCUCUGCCAGUCCGGCUUCUACCAACAGUAACUGACG